GGUGCCAUAGCUCAGUUGGUAGAGCAAGGGACUGAAAAUCCUUGUGUCCCCGGUUCGAUUCCUGGUGGCACCA
RNAcentral lists this transfer RNA (73 nucleotides) under Candidatus Bacteroides pullicola. Its description in RNAcentral is "tRNA-Phe". It matches the Rfam family "tRNA". From Rfam's summary of the family: Transfer RNA (tRNA) molecules are approximately 80 nucleotides in length. Their secondary structure includes four short double-helical elements and three loops (D, anti-codon, and T loops). Lineage: Bacteria; Pseudomonadati; Bacteroidota; Bacteroidia; Bacteroidales; Bacteroidaceae. The record is from RNAcentral.